GUUCCACAAGGACCGGGACAUCUUUUCUGUCUCCAGCACCUAAUCCACCACAGCUGUCCAUGAAUGAGAAACAGCUGGAAGCUCAGCCGGUGCCACUACCUGUUCCUGCCAGAGUCAACAGAGCACGGGCUCUUCCACCACUUUGCGUAGGGGUGCAUGUGUACUGACAUGUUUCACCCGUAACCCUGGACCCCUCAGAGGGAAUAUACUCGCUAUCCAUUUCACGCCUAACAAGUUGUCCACCUCAGGAGUCUACCUGAAGUGCUAUGGAGCUACUACUAGCUCUUCCUGCCCACAGAUCCAGAGCAGCUGCCCAAAGGAAUCUCCAAUGCUCACUCAACUACACUGCAUAACAAGCCAAGGAUGCAGUUAUAACCCUUGAGUAAUCGAUUUACAUAUAUUCUAAGAAAAAAAAAGACACCAAAUGCUCUUUCUUGUCUUCAAGUCACCAAGAAGGUUCAUGGAAGACUAGAGCCUCACAGGGAAGCUCCUUAAGAAAAAGUAUAGCAUCACUUCUGGAAUGAAGAUGGGAAGAAGAAAAUGGAAGGGUAGGGAAAGGUUUUGAGCCUGUCAUAGAUGUAAUAUUUAUAAUAUGAUCUCUUCAAAUGAUUGGAGUAUUCAACAGC
This 626-nucleotide long non-coding RNA is filed under the name Fukomys damarensis (Damara mole-rat). Its description in RNAcentral is "lncRNA (ENSFDAG00000024689.1)". Lineage: Eukaryota; Metazoa; Chordata; Mammalia; Rodentia; Bathyergidae. The record is from RNAcentral.